This 2083-nucleotide long non-coding RNA is filed under the name Homo sapiens (human). Its description in RNAcentral is "non-protein coding lnc-RCC1-6:2". Lineage: Eukaryota; Metazoa; Chordata; Mammalia; Primates; Hominidae. The record is from RNAcentral.
CUGGGCGACAGAGCGAGACUCUAUCUCAAAAAAAAAAAAAAAAAAAGGCAACUGGGCCCCAGGGACUACUACCACCAAGAUGCGGAGACUGGUAGUGGCCCUGAAUGCCUGGCUGUGCUGUUAUUUAUUGUAUACAAGGCCAGGGGACAGGGUAAGGAGUGUCAGUCAUCUCCAAUGAUAGGUAACGGUCAUGUGAGUCACGUGUCCACCAGACGGGGGGGCCCUUCCCUGUUUGGUAGCCAAGGCGGAGAGAGAGGGGGGACAGCGUACGUCAUUAUUUCUUCUAUGCAUUUCUCUGAGAGAUCAAAGACUUUAAUAUUCUCACUAAUUCUGCUACUGCUAUCUAGAAGGCAGAGCCAGGUGUACAGAGUGGAACAUGAAAGUGGACCAGGAGCAUGACCGCUGAAGCACAGCAUCACAGGGAGACGUUUAGGCCUCCGGAUGGCUACAGGCAGGCUUGACUGAUGUCAGGCCUUCCACAAGAGGUGGUGGAGCAGAGUCUUCUCUAACUCCCCAGGGGAAAGGGAGACUACCGUUCCCGGUCUGCUAAGUAAUGGGUAAUGGGUGCCUUCCCAGGCACUGGCGCUACUGCUAGGCCAAGGUCGCUAAGUAACGGGUGCCUUCCUGGGCACUGCCGUUACCGCCCUUUAGUGGCCCUGUCCGGGUGUGACAGAGGGCUCACACUCUUGUCUUCUGGUCACUUCUCACCGUGUCCCUUCAGCUCCUAUCUCUGUAUGGCCUGGUUUUUCCUAGGUUAUAAUUGUAGAGCAGAUAUUAUUAUAAUAUUGGGAUAAAGAGUAAUGCUACAAAGUAAUGAUUGAUAAUAUUCAUAUAAAAUCAUGUCUAUAUUCUAUGUCUAAUAUACCUAUUCUUAUUUUAAGGAUUUUCUUUAUUAUACUGGAACAGCUUGUGCCUUCAGUCUCUCGCCUCAGCAGCUGGGUGGCUUGCCGCCCACACACCUGUAAUCCCAGCACUUAGGGAGGCUGAGGUGGGUGGCUCACCUGAGGUCAGGAGUUCAAGACCGGCCUGGCCAACAUGGUGAAACCCUGUAUCUACUAAAUCUACUAAAAAUAUAACAAAUUAGCUGGGUAUGGUGGCAUGCAGCUGUAGUCCCAGCUACUCAGGAGGCUAAGGCUCGAGAAUCACUUGAACCCAGGAGGGGGAGGUUGCGGUGAGCCGAAAUUGUGCCACUGCCCUCCAGCCUGGGUGACAGAGCGAGACUGUCUCAAAAAAAAAAAAAGAAAGAAAAUAGUACCUCCUUUUUUUUUUUUUUUGGAGACUCUGUCUCCCGGGCUGGAGUGCAGUGGGUGCGAUCUCAGCUCACUGUAACCUUCACCUCCUGGGUUCAAGCGAUUCUCCUGCCUCAGCCUCCUGAGUAGCUAGGAGUCCAGGCAUGCACCACCAUGCCCGGCUAAUUUUUUUGUAUUUUUAGUAGAGACGGGGUUUCCCCAUGUUGGCCAAGCUGGUCUCGAACUCCUGACCCCAAGUGAUCCAACUGCCUCGGCUUCCCAAAGUGUUGGGAUUAUAGGCGUGAGCCACCAUGCCCGGCCAGUAUCUCAUUCUUAAUAGCUCAUAUGCAUUGGGACUUCGAGUAGGGUAGGCAUCGUAUUGAGCACUUUACAUGCAAUAGCUUGUUUAAUCCUCACAUCAGCUCUACUAUCCUUCAGGGAACAGUCCCUGCCAGUUGAAGUGACUUGCUUGAGGUCAGGAGGCUACCAAGUGCAUAGUCUAUUCAGCCUCCACCUGAGCCCAGAACCUCAGUAUUUUUUCCUCAUAUUGUACCUAAGAGUUAUAAAGUUCCCUAGAUGUUUUAUGUAUAUUAGAACAGUGCCAGCCACGUAGUAAAUGCUAUACAAUUCUUUGCUAUUAUGAUUAUUUUACAUUUUAUAUUCCCUGUAGUUAAUAAUUGCCUUGUUUUUAAUGUACUUUGUUUUGUUUGUAUAAGUAUCAUUAAUUCAGUUCCAAUAUAUCAGAAGUAUAAAUCUUUUGGGUGUUCAAACACAUCACCUACUUUCAAUUUUAUCUUUUCCUCCGUCCUCUCCCAACCUGAAUUAAUUACCCCGAAAUAAAUGUAAAGUAAUAC